UACGGGGGGAGCAAGCGUUGUUCGGAUUUACUGGGCGUAAAGGGCGCGUAGGCGGCACCGCAAGUCGACUGUGAAAUCUCCGGGCUUAACUCGGAAAGGUCAGCCGAUACUGCGGGGCUAGAGUGCAGAAGGGGCAGCUGGAAUUCUCGGUGUAGCGGUGAAAUGCGUAGAUAUCGAGAGGAACACCUGCGGCGAAGGCGGGUUGCUGGGCUGACACUGACGCUGAUGCGCGAAAGCUAGGGGAGCGAACGGG
Molecule: ribosomal RNA, 253 nt
Filed under: uncultured bacterium
Lineage: Bacteria
Description: partial 16S ribosomal RNA
Rfam family: Bacterial small subunit ribosomal RNA
Source: RNAcentral